This 1051-nucleotide ribosomal RNA is filed under the name Gracilibacillus sp. R153. Its description in RNAcentral is "bacterial SSU rRNA". It matches the Rfam family "Bacterial small subunit ribosomal RNA", at positions 56 to 1093 of the family's 1533-position model. The record is from RNAcentral. Lineage: Bacteria; Bacillati; Bacillota; Bacilli; Caryophanales; Bacillaceae.
AGCAGUCGAGCGCGGGAGCGAACGGAAUCCUUCGGGAGGAAGUUCGUGGAACGAGCGGCGGACGGGUGAGUAACACGUGGGCAACCUACCUGUAAGACUGGGAUAACCCCGGGAAACCGGGGCUAAUACCGGAUAAUACGUUCCUUCACCUGAAGGAAUGUUGAAAGAUGGCUUCUAGCUAUCACUUACAGAUGGGCCCGCGGCGCAUUAGCUAGUUGGUGAGGUAACGGCUCACCAAGGCGACGAUGCGUAGCCGACCUGAGAGGGUGAUCGGCCACACUGGGACUGAGACACGGCCCAGACUCCUACGGGAGGCAGCAGUAGGGAAUCUUCCGCAAUGGACGAAAGUCUGACGGAGCAACGCCGCGUGAACGAAGAAGGUUUUCGGAUCGUAAAGUUCUGUUGUUAGGGAAGAACAAGUGCCGUUCAAAUAGGGCGGCACCUUGACGGUACCUAUCGAGGAAGCCCCGGCUAACUACGUGCCAGCAGCCGCGGUAAUACGUAGGGGGCAAGCGUUGUCCGGAAUUAUUGGGCGUAAAGCGCGCGUAGGCGGUUUCUUAAGUCUGAUGUGAAAUCUUGCGGCUCAACCGCAAGCGGUCAUUGGAAACUGGGGAACUUGAGUGCAGAAGAGGAGAGUGGAAUUCCACGUGUAGCGGUGAAAUGCGUAGAUAUGUGGAGGAACACCAGUGGCGAAGGCGACUCUCUGGUCUGUAACUGACGCUGAGGUGCGAAAGCGUGGGGAGCGAACAGGAUUAGAUACCCUGGUAGUCCACGCCGUAAACGAUGAGUGCUAGGUGUUACGGGGUUUCCGCCCCUUUAGUGCUGCAGUUAACGCAUUAAGCACUCCGCUGGGGAGUACGGCCGCAAGGCUGAAACUCAAAAGAAUGACCGGGGCCUGCACAGCGUGGAGCAUGUGUUUAUCGAGCACGCGAGACUACAGUCUGACAUCUCGAUGUCCUAGAAUAGGAGUUCUCGGGAACGAUGACUGUGUGCAUGGAUGUCGUCAGUCGGUAUGAAUGUAGCUUAGUCGUACGAGGCACCUUGGACUAAC